UGAUAAGCCGUGAGAUGGCGGUGCCGCCGAUGGCCAGCCGCAGGAUGAGACCAGGGACAAUAGGUCCCUGGUCGACAAUAACACCGUGCAGACGCUGUCCAGCAAGGACAUCGAGGCGACGAAGCGGGAGGGUGCCAGCGGUGACGCCAUCGUGGAGGCUUUGAUAGCAAAUGGCUCCACAUUUGGAAAUAAGACAGUGUUCUCACAGGAGAAAUACAAGCUGAAGGAACAAAACAAAUAUGCGCCUAAAGUGCUUUUGCGGCGCCCCUCUACCCGAAGGUUUAUGUGAGUUGAUGCACUCUCCCUCUUGUUGUCUAUGGCAAAUGUUGGUGCAUAUUCAGAUGUGCUUGCCGUUCAUAUGGUUGGGGGUUUAGUUGUUGGAGCUGUAUCUGAACACUUAGGAGGGAUUUGCGCGGUGGAGACAGCUAUCCAUUUGUGCGGUCAUUGGAUUAGUAAACAGAGAGGGGGGAGGGAGGGAGCAAUGGACAAGAAGGCAACAAAGAUGAAGAUGCUCUCGUCGGCAGCGGCUUUCGUGGAGGGUGGCGUGCAGGACACCUUCGACGACGCCUGCAACAUCUGCCUUGAGGCCUUCUGCGACAACGAGCCCUCCGGUUAGCUGCAAGCAUGAUUUCUAUCUCCAGUGCAUCCUUGAGUGGAUAUGGUUAGGCGCACAUAUGCUUGUGUUUAUGACGACACCUGCACCAGUCGUUAUAGUAGUUGUUGUUGUCCCCCCCCCCCCUCCAAACUCCCUUCUCUGGUUAUAGAAGGUCAUGACUGACCUGUGAAACACUUGGGCACACCAAAGGUUGGUGAUUCGAAUCAAAGAUUAGUGUAUGCUAUGUUACGUUGUUUCCCUCAUCUGAUUAUUGUUGCUGCCGGGUUAACAUGAAUGCUAAGUUAUAGGCGUCUUGACUAAUUAAUAAAUGAAACCGAAGAGGAUGGGCAGAAAGCAAACUAAUUUUAUGUACGCCCAACAUUGUUUCUUUGGAUGCUUAUAUGAAUGGUUUUAAACUUUUAAUGGAUGAGCUGAUGGCAUAACUUGGUUCUCCUCUUACAGAUAAGCGCAUUCAUGUUCUGAAGCAAUGCCUUCUUGAACGUGUAUAGGAAAUAAGCUCCGAUGCAUUUAUUUUAGUACUUGGAUACUCUUUUGCUUACAUGUCUGCCGGGAAGAUACAAUGUCCUACAAGUUCGAAUACAGAGCUACCACUAUAAAUUCUACUUGGUUGCAUCUGACCUAAUGUUAUUCAUUUCCUUCUGCUCCAGACAAGACAAGCAGCAGCGGCGACGCCGGACCAGUCACCCCCGCACCUCCAGUUUUCCUUCAGGGCUGUGAGCCUUGUGUUGGGAGGAUCCCAGGCCGAAUGAUGCUUGAUCUCCUUUUGGAGGAGCUUGUGUUUACCGCAGCCCGUUAUAGUCGAAGGGGCUAUUUAAGUAACACCAUGAGUUCAUUUACUGGUGUUCGAUCCUCCGAUGAGGCAGCGGCGGAAGACUUGCCUUUUUGAAGCCAUCAGGACCAUCGAAAAUGCCACAAGAACAGUGGUCAAAGAUCUGAAUUAUGGACGCUUAAACAAGAUGGAACAAGACUUUGGUUAUCUAAGGCUCAGGCUCAAUGAAGCAUUUGACACAAUAGACAGGGUUGCCAAAGGAUAUUUGUAUGCUAUAAGAUACAUGCCAGCUUUCUUACAUCAGCUUCAUAAUGUGAUAGCACAUACUUUUCCUCCUACUCGUGUUGUGGACAAGUCAACAAAUGAGGCUCUCAAGAAUAUUGAGGUGGUAGCUCAUAAUCUCAGGACAGAAGCAAUAGUCUUGAGAACAA
This is a non-coding RNA of Aegilops tauschii subsp. strangulata, 1816 nucleotides long. The record is from RefSeq and is a predicted model, not a curated record. NCBI's taxonomy places the organism in Eukaryota, Viridiplantae, Streptophyta, Magnoliopsida, Poales, Poaceae.